GACAUAGGUUGCGAGCGUUAUUCGGAAUUACUGGGCGUAAAGCGUGCGCAGGCGGUUUUGUAAGACUGUCGUGAAAUCCCCGGGCUCAACCUGGGAAUGGCGAUGGUGACUGCAAGGCUAGAGUUUGGCAGAGGGGGGUAGAAUUCCACGUGUAGCAGUGAAAUGCGUAGAUAUGUGGAGGAACACCGAUGGCGAAGGCAGCCCCCUGGGUCAAAACUGACGCUCAUGCACGAAAGCGUGGGGAGCAAACAGG
RNAcentral lists this ribosomal RNA (253 nucleotides) under uncultured bacterium. Its description in RNAcentral is "partial 16S ribosomal RNA". It matches the Rfam family "Bacterial small subunit ribosomal RNA", at positions 524 to 776 of the family's 1533-position model. The record is from RNAcentral.